Molecule: ribosomal RNA, 371 nt
Filed under: uncultured Glomeromycotina
Lineage: Eukaryota; Fungi; Glomeromycota
Description: LSU rRNA
Source: RNAcentral
UUGAAAGGGAAACGAUUGAAGUCAGUCGUACCGGCGGAUAAUCAACCUUUCGGCGUGAUUAUGUGGAGCGUGAGGAGUCAAACGCCCUCAUGCCUGCAUAUUCGUGUUCUUUGGGUGUACUUACCCGCAUGGUAGGUUAACAUCAAUUUCGAACGUCAUAAAAUGGUUGGAGGAAUGUAGCUUCGAUCUCGUAUUGAAGUGUUAUAGCCUUCGGCAGAUGUGAUGAUCGGGAUUGAGGAUUGCAACGGAUACCCCUCGGGCUACCCGUCUGAUCUCUGAAAGUUACUCUGGUGCCGAAAGCUCGCUUACGGUCAUCAAAGUUGACGUUCAACAGAUUAGAACGGGAUAAAUUCGUUAAGGAUGUUGACGUA